AAGACAUAGAAACAGCAUUUGGCACAGAGAGAAAAGCCUGGUAAAAUGCAUGGAUGUAGGAAAGCUCAGCCAUCCCCUCACAGUGCAGAUGUGAGUGAGCCUUGUUACAGGCAAGAUGCUGACUGUCAUCGGGCCUCAGAGCUCAGCUGGGAACGCUGGCUUUGUGGCUGGAGGGCAGCUGACGAGAAUGGAAGCCUGAGUGACUGUGGCCUGGGAAGACCCAAGUUUUCACUGGUAACAAAGAGGAAGUUCAAUAGCAGCCUCUCAACUCGUGAUGUUAAAGCUCUGCAGAAGGAAAUGUCUGCAGUGCCCGGGUGUGGUCUGAACGUUGCAGAGGAGGCCUGGCAGCGUUGUUUAUUAUGGACACCACACGUCUGUGAAUACCAGGAACUCAUCAGCUUUUACCCUGCCAUUAACUCACGUUGUGUGUGUAGACAACGAAAGCCCACUAAGAUUUUUAUGGAAGUAUGGGUUUUUCUCCAGUCUAUAGAAUGGCUUAUUUGAAUCCAAGUUCAGUUCUUUACUUUUUCUGUUACACAUAUAACUCUAUAUGAACUCUCGCUGAGGAGGAACGUACCUACAGUGACAACUGCUGAUCUGAAGAAGUGUACAGCUCAAUGCAUUUUUACAUACGUCAGCACCCAUCUAAACACCAGCCCAUCCACACGGAGAAUUUUUUUCAGCAUCCCAAAAGAUGAUGUCAUCCUCCUUACAGUCAACCCCUCCCCAAAAUGUAACCACUCUUCUAAGUUCUAUCAAAAUGGAUUAAUUUUACCUGUUUUGAACUUCAUAUACAUGGAAUAGUGCAAUUCCAGUCCUCACAUUUGCAUUUGUGAGAUUCUUUUACGUUGUUAAAUGAGGCAGAAGCCCUUUUAAAAAUUGCUCUGGAAUAAGCCAAAGUAUAUAUUAUACCAUCAUUUAUUUUCAUAGGCGUCUUCAAAUAAAGCGCCUUGACUAUUCUAGUACAAGUCCUUUAGAAAAUGUAAGCCCUCAUAGCUGUUGGUUAUACACUCAGGGUGGAGUUGCUGGGUUGUGGGGUAAACACGUACCUGGCUUACUACAUCCUGCCAGUGAUUUUCCAAAGUGAUUGUACCAAAUUAUAUUCUCAGUAUAAUGUAUGGAGUUCUAGUUCUCCAUUUUUUUCUCCAGUACAACUUAUUUUAAGUCUUUUAAAUUUUAUCCGUUUUUAAGAGUUACAUGACAUUAUCUUAUUGUUCUGUUUUGUUGUUCCCUCUUGACUGGUUAUCUGCAUAGCUUUCAUGUAAAUUUAACUGUGGUUUGGUGAUAUUAAAUUCAUUUUGGGUUGAUACUUUAUUAUCCCAUAAAUUUGCUAUUCCACCUAACUUUUUGUCAUCUACUCAUACUCUUAGUAUAUCUUUUUAUUAGGACAUCAGUUAUCCUUCAAGUCUCCAUAAUAUGAUGAAGACAGAAUACUGCAUCGAGCCCCAAUGUAAGUUGACAUUAAUGAAUUUAUUUACAUCCUUGACAAGGCUGUUCAACCAAUUAUGAAAAUAAACUGUGUGAUUAUCAGCCCACAUUUUACCAUGCUUUCAAUGAAGUUAUCUAGGAUGAUUGAAAUUCAGAUUCUUCUAUGUCUACAGUAUUGUGGUCCAUCAAUUUAGUUGGUACCCCUAUAAAAAAAUGAAGUAAUUUAAAUUCUUUGUGAAUCCAGAAUGGCUCCCAUUGGUCAUUUAUUCCCUCUCUGAGUCAUAAAUCAUCCUUUCAAGAACCUUUCCUCACAUUUUUCCUGAUGACAUCUGUUCCGCUUUAUAAAUGUUGGACAGAAAGUCUUUGUAACUUUUUAUUUAAAAAUAUGGUUUAGACUGAGUUCCUUGUUUCAUUUGAUAGUUAUGUAUAAAUUGUUUUUAUAAAUUGAAUCUUUAAUAUUUUAGGACAUCUUACUAGUUGAUGCUGGUGUUUUUAUUUUGUUAGAAAAGUAAUAUUUUACCAUAUUUCCUACUAGACUAUGCAUAUAUUUAUACUCAUGCACAUUUAACAUAAUUGAUAUUUUAGUGCAUAUACAACUAACUUUUUAAAAAAUUGACAUGAACAUUUUCUCAUGGUUUUAAUAGUUUUGGGAAUAAUUAUUUUACUAGAAAUAUAUUUCUUUAAUUAAUUUCUUUAAUUAAUUCUUCAUUUAUUAUAUUACUGGGAAUUUCCAAUGUUUCAUGACUAUAAAUAAUGGUGAGGUAAAUGUUAAGACUGCUUCUUAUUCUCUAAUUUUAUGCAUUUUCCUUUAUUGACUCCAUUGAGUUUUUGUAGGAAGAGAGAGACAGGUACCAUGUUAAUUAUUGCAUUUCAUCAUUUGGGUGAGCACCUCACAUUCACUGAGCCAUUUAUAUCAAAGGAAUAAUGAAGAGACCAAUCCUAAUGAGCAAGCAUCUCAUUAAUACCAUCUGCUUAGCAAAACAUUAGUGAGCACACACUUUUGACCUGUGAAAAGUGCUUUUAAUUAUAGUUAUUUUCUUUGUCUCUUUGUUCUUUUGAUUCUACCAGCCUGUUUGAUCCUUUGAACAUAGUAUCCAUGCUUUACAGUAGCAAAUAAGUUCUCUGACUGAUUCAUACAUUAUAGUAGAAAAUGAUAAAAACCCAAAUAUUCCUACAUGCUUUGUACGUUGUACUGAAUGUAGGAUAAAUUUUGUAGGGGUUGAAAGUUUCUAUAGCAUAUUUUAUUGGUAGACAAAUCACAAAAAUUUUGAGUAACAAACAAUUGAUCAAGGAUUACAAACAACAAAAUCACAAAUUGAUCAACCUAAAUAGUAAUCAAAGAAAUAAGAUAGCCUUUUACAAAGCUAUAAAAUUUAUAAGUAUCUACUCAAUGUGAUACCCGAUUUUGUGGAUGAUAUAGAGAAAUAAACUUUCAUUCAUGAAAAGUUUAUUGACUAGUGAAAAUGUAAAUUGAUUCCAUUUGGUCAAUUUGGAAAUAAAUAUUACUACCUUAAAAAUCUGCCUUCUCUUUGAGCCAGUAUGUUUCUUGAAGAAAUAAUUAUUAUGGUAGAACUCUGGCAAAGAUUAAUUACAGACAUGUUAGUACCUGCUAAUUCUAAUGCUUGUGCUUCCUGGAGAGAGGAAGACACAGCUGAAGUCCUCUGGAUGCAUAAAACAUGGCAGCAUCUUCGUCACAUCUGUGUGCCACGAAUUAGCCAAAUAUAAAAAUCCUGCACCAUGGCUGGGAAAAAAUGUGCCUUUUGGAAAUGUGUUUCAGAAACUGGUUUAGUCAGUGAAAUCUGAAAAAGGCCCUUACCUUAUGGAAAAACUUGGACUUGAGGCACAAUUGGAUUUGGGGAUUCCAGCGCCAUAGCUUUUUCUCUACAACUUCCAGCUGUCAUCCUCUUUUGUGACUUUGUUCACAGGCAAGUCCUCAUGUUGACCUCAGCAGCACAUCUACUAAUCAGGGGAGUCCUCUCCAAGUAUCGAGAAACAUGGCUCCCAGGACUCCAAGUUUGUGUGGCAUUAGUUCCUGAAUCAGUGAAGAUUCACUGUUAUAAUUAACAAAAUCUUAUUCUCACUCAAUUAGGCAGAACAGAAAAGUAUUAAAAGAUUAUAGGCAACACAUAAUUUCUAAAAUUACUGUAGAGCCAGACAGAAAUGACAUCCAAAUCUCUGAACCCAAAUGCCACAGUUCCGAGGUCAUCACACUGGACACUGAGCUGCCAUUGGGAACGUGUCUACUUGUGCCUCUGGAAAUGGCUGUCAUGCUCGUAUCACCAGCACCCUUGAUAGAAUGGACUUUGGGGCCCUGCUUCCUUGCAUUGCUUGCCUCCAGUUAGAUCCGUAGUCUUCAAUUAAAAAAGAGAGAAAGAAGGAAGAAUGGAGGGAAAGAGAGACAAAGGAAAGAAGAACUCAUUCAGCCAGGUAUGCUGGUGCUUGCCUACAGUCUUGGUUAAUCCAGAGGCUGAAGCAGGGUCAUCAUUUGAGUUCAAGAAUUUGAGGCAAACUGGGCAGCACUGUGAGACAUCUCAAAGUAACAAAACAAUUCAUUUUACCACACUUAUUAGCAACAAUAUUUAUCUUAAAUUUAAAAGAAAUGGUUAGAAUGAUAAACUUCAUGUAAUGUAUAUUUUACCACAAUAAAAAUAUAAGAAAAUUAUAAGAGUCUCUUCUCCCAAACACAAAGCAAAGCAAAACAAAACCAGUCUGUAGUGGACAUGUCUGAUUGGCAGAGUCAGGGUCAUGUGACUGCAAAGGAGGCAGAAAAAGCAAGCAUCUUGUAAUUUUCCAUUUCAGAAAAUAUGGUUUCUUGGAGCACCAGAAUUUCAUAGUACUCGGAUCAGGCAAGAAAUGGUAGAGUAACCUGGAAGGGAAGGUGACCUCAUUCUUUAAGGUAAGGAAAUUCAGAUCCAAGGUGACUGAAAAGAACAGCAAAUGUCUAGGGAAAACAAUUAGGAUCUCAGCUGAUUUUUCAACCCAGCCCCUUAAGGCUAGGAGGUCCUGGAAUAAUACAUACCAAGCUCUGAAAGAAAAUGGAUGCCAGUCAAGAAUACUAUACCCUGCAAAACUAACUUCAGAUUUGAUGAUAAAAUAAGAAACUUCCAUUAUAAACAAAAGUUACAAGAAUUCACAACGAAAAAGACAAAUUUAAAAGAAUUCACAACCAAAAAGCCUGCAUUAUCAAACCUUUUCAACAAAAUAGUUCAUGAAGAAAUAAAAAAAAGACGAAAUUCAGCAAAAGGAGGAACUACACUAGAAGUAUAGUUAAUCAAAAAAGAAGCUAUUACAAAUGAAAAACCAGAAAUAAUUCAAAAUGAUAGGGAAUAAAUCAUUUCUCAAUAAUAACAUUGAAUGUAAAUGACCUAAACUCAAUCAAAAGACAGACUGGGAGGCUGGAUUAAAAAAUAAGACCCUGGGCAGCAGCCCAGGCCUGGCCAUUGCCUGUGCACAACUCCAGUGCCGCCCAGGCCUAGCUGCAGUCUGCACCACGCUGUUGUUCCCCAUCUACCAACAUGUGGUUUCGUCUCUGCCUGCUGUUAUGGAGUAGUCCCCACCCGGACGCCACCAUCCUAAGUCCGGGCAGCUCCCUUCCUGGGACACAGCAUUAUCAAGUACCUCUCAUGCAUCAGGCUACUGAAGACUAGGAGGUUU
Molecule: long non-coding RNA, 5082 nt
Organism: Sciurus carolinensis (gray squirrel)
Lineage: Eukaryota; Metazoa; Chordata; Mammalia; Rodentia; Sciuridae
Exons: 3
Source: RefSeq, a predicted model, not a curated record